ACAUCUGUUCAGCAUACAGUGCUGUGCUGGACUGGGGCAUGUACAAUAGCUGGGGACAUGCCAAGCAAAUAGGAGGAGAUGAUCCCCCCAAAGGAGAAUACCCUGUUCAGAAGAAAUCCCCUAAACUUUGUGGCUCCAACUAUCCUCUAAGCAUUGCCUUCAUCGUGGUGAAUGAGUUCUGUGAGCGCUUUUCCUACUAUGGCAUGAGAGCUGUCCUGACGCUAUAUUUCUUAAGCUUCUUUCACUGGGAUGAGAAUCUCUCCACUGCUGUGUACCAUGCCUUUUCUGCACUCUGUUAUUUCACACCUGUUAUUGGAGCCAUCAUGGCAGACUCAUGGCUGGGGAAAUACAAGACGAUCAUCUACCUCUCCAUUGUGUAUGUGGUUGGCCAUCUGAUAAAGUCAGUCGGUGCAAUUCCAUCCCUAGGCAACCAGGUGGUUCAUGUGAUCCUGUCUAUGGUUGGUCUGUUUUUGAUCGCCCUUGGAACGGGAGGUAUCAAGCCCUGUGUCUCUGCAUUUGGUGGGGACCAGUUUGAAGAGGAACAUAUCUCGGAGAGAAGCAAGUUUUUUUCCAUCUUCUAUUUAUCCAUUAAUGCUGGAAGUUUGAUCUCCACGUUUGUAACUCCUGUAUUAAGAGGGGAUGUGAAAUGUUUUGGAGAGGAUUGUUAUGCACUGGCUUUUGGAGUCCCAGCAGCACUGAUGGUGUUGGCGCUUGUUGUGUUCAUUGCUGGAAGCGGACUGUACAGAAAAACACCACCACAAGGGAACGUCUUACUUGAAGUGUGCAAAUGCAUUGGUUUUGCUAUUAAAAAUCGUCUGAGAAACCGCUCCCGUCAGAUCCCAAAGAGAGAUCACUGGCUGGACUGGGCAUCAGAAAAAUACUCGAAACAGCUGAUUGGAGAAGUUAAAAUGGUGACACGUGUUCUCUUCCUCUUCUUACCGCUGCCAGUGUUCUGGGCCCUGUUUGAUCAGCAGGGAUCCAGGUGGACUUUGCAAGCCACAAAAAUGAAUGCUGAUUUUGGAAUAUAUGUCCUUCAGCCUGACCAAAUGCAGUUCUUAAAUCCACUUCUUAUUCUUGUCUUCAUCCCAGUUUUUGACCUUGGGCUCUACCCUCUGGUAAACAUGUGCAAAUUCAAUUUCACACCUAUUAGGAAAAUGGCAACAGGUAUGAUCCUUGCAGGGAUGGCGUUUGGACUUGCAGCCAUUGUAGAAAUCAAAAUAAAUGAAACAGAUAUGCCUCGACUUGUCCCAGGAGAAAGUUUAAUUCGAGUCCUGAAUUUGGUGAAGAGCCCUGUUCAAGUGACAAUUCAAGACCGGGACCUAUUUCAGCAGCCUGCGGAGGCUUUUCAAAACCCAGCUGAGUACUCAAAAUUAAUAUUGAAUGGAGAGCAACAGACAUUUCGCUUCACUCUGGAACAUCAAGGAUCGUCUCUUGCUUUUAACUACACUGUGAAGGAAAAAUCAGUAUACAGCUUAAUUGUUUUUGAGGCAGAAGGAAGCCUAUCAAGCCGCUUAAUUACAGACUUGGAUGCAAAGCCAGAAAACGGUUUGGCAGCUGUUAGAUUCAUUAAUGGUUUGAGCCAAGACAUCAACCUCACCAUUGACAGCAAGCGGUUUGUUGCUGUUCAGAAAAACUACAGUGCUUCUGAGUACUUGCUGCUAGAGCGGGACAAAUAUAAUAAUGGAAAAUGCAUAACUGAAAUGGGAGAAUUCAUACUGGAGCUAGGGCUGCUCGACUUCGGCGCUUCAUACACCAUUGUGAUAACUAACAUUUCUGGAGGUGCUGUUAAAACAUGGAAGUCAGAAGACAUCAAAGCCAACAAUGUCCAUAUGGCUUGGCAGUUACCACAAUACUUAUUAAUAUCUGCUGGGGAGGUGAUGUUCUCCAUUACGGGUCUGGCCUUCUCCUAUUCUCAGUCUCCAGCCAGCAUGAAGUCAGUGCUGCAGGCAGGCUGGCUGCUCACGGUGGCUGUUGGGAAUACCCUUGUGCUUGUUGUUGCCCAGGCUGCACCAAUGGCACAGUGGGCUGAAUUUGUCUUGUUCACUGUUCUCCUCUUUGCUGUGUGCAUUAUUUUCUCCAUCAUGGGAUAUUUCUAUGUCAGUGUGGAUCCAGAGGACCUAGAAGAAAAGGAAGAGAAGAGAGAAAACUCAAGCAGAGGAAACAUGAUUGGUCUCGUUACUCAGAAAACAAAGCUCUGACUCAUCAUGGUUCAAGAAGAUGACUUUUGGAGGAUUCCAGAAGAUGACCACUGGGAAGGCUGCACGAGGCUGGCUUGGAUGCAGCUGGUGUGUGCUGGCUGUGAGGCAGGAGCCUGGCCAAGCACAGCAGCCGAUCCUGCUCUGGAGACCCAGAUGCGGAUGGGCAAGUUAGCCUGGGCUAAAGCGUUAGCCUGGCUAAAACGCUUGCCUUUGUGGAAGAUGCGUUUUUCAUGAGCAGCAAUCUGGAUGGUAUGGCAAAAACCAGCAUACAGACCUGCAUUCGUGGGUGUGCAGUGACCAGAGGAGGAGGCAGCUCUGCUCCUGGUGAUACCCCCUGCAUCUAUGUCAGCCACCACCUUGGCUUCCCCUUGGGAUGGAAGAAACAGCUUGAAGGAGUAUUACAGAUGGAGGUUGUCCUGAGCACCUGCACUUUCACUAUAAAAUAAAUAAAUGACCUUGCCUGCUCGCAGGCAGAUGGUCCAUCUGUCUUCUACUAAAACUUUGAUAGUGCCAUGAAGAAUCCUUCAGAAGUAAUGGUACCAGUAUAGUCCUUUACAUCCCUAUGGGAGGACUUCUUCUGCCUUUCUUUGCGCCAUCCUUUCGUAUAUGCUGGUUCAAGCCAAAGGACUUGUGCUCGGUUUCUCACAGCCCACAGCACUCCUCAAGUGCCUGUAAUGCAGGCUCGAGUUCCCUCUUCUGUUUGAGCUGAAAACAAUUAAAAGCCAUUGGUUGCUCCAGAACUAGCUGGUUUUGUCUAGUAAAGUUAUUUUUUUUAGCUUUUACUGUGUUCACAUCUGUUACUCACUGCUAUGGAGUGAAACACUGUUCCAGUCUUUUCUUGUCAAUCCUCACUUUUCUGGGGAAAGCUGGGCUUUUAGCUUUUGCAUAAAAAACUUGAUCUUUGCUGCCUUUAGUCCUAAUGCUGUUCAUUGCUUGAACAGCAAGGAUUGUCAUCCCUUGAAGCCAGGGGUUUGGGCUCCUUCUUUUGUGUUUUUGCUUCUGUCUGCCCAGCUUUUCUUAGCUAGGAUCACUAUAUUGCAGCUCCUGGAGUCCACUGACCUGAGAAGGAGCAGAGAAGUCAUCUUGGUGGUUUUAAAAGAUGCACCUAGACUGAACCUGCUCAACUCUGAAAGUUUUGGGACACUUUUCAGCUUAUUACAGGAAGAGCAGGGACCUCUCCUUGUAAAGGUGUGCUCUCAUGCCCACUGCAUCCUGCUCUGGCUGAAGAGGGGGUGCUGCCAGGUCAGAGCAGCUCAGCCAUCCCCAGUACUGUGCUUCUGCUCUCCUCUGGCCCUGCAUUUCCUAGCUCGAAUUUAUCCACUCUGGUCCUCUCGCUGGUAGGUCUCUCUCAGCAGUGGUGUUCACUCUGAGAGAGCCGUCGCCUCCAGCAAUUUAUUUGCCAAGUCUUAUCAUGUUACUUGUGAUGACACUCAUCAAGCGCUUUGUUUUGCCUCUCCAGCCUCCACCGCUGUUCCAUGUUUCUGCUGUGGUUUCUCUUGAUUCAGACUGUCAAGCUCUUGCCAGUUUUGUCUUCCUUGUCUUGGCUUCCCAUUAUCGGUGCUGUUCUUGGAGUCCAAAUGCCCUUCACAUCGUGGAUCUGCAGGCUGAGUAAACUUAGCAAAUCAUUAGGGCGGACUUUAACUGCUCCUGUCUCCAUCAAAGACUGGGAUUAAAUUAGAUCUCUUUGAUAAACUGAGCUGAUUGGCCAAUUUGGAUUGCACAUGUGGUAUUAUGGGCCUCACAGGGCUUAUGAUUAAAAGAUGUAAGAGAAUGCAAUUAUUUAGAGAGCUACCAGGAGAUCGUUGUAACUCCCUAGUUACCUUUUUAUCAGAACAGAAGAAGAGCCCAGUUCUGCAGGGUGGCAGGCAGCCCUGGGGAAGCGACUGCAAGCCUCUGACUACUGAGGGAGGCCAGAGUCAUGUUUGUUUCCUGCAGGUUUUGAUGUAUGUGAUAAUACUGGGGCUGGGGAGAGGCAGAAUAUCACUCUGACCAUUUCUGUCCCCAAGGCACCUGCUGCAGGAGAGAAAACUUUCAUACAGGUGGCUUCUAUAUCUCUUUCUACGGUUCCUUGGGGUUUCCCCCCAAGAAACUAUGGUUGUCUUUGCAGGAAGACAGAGCUCAGCUGGAUUUCUUGGCUGGAUUUUAAUCAAAUUCUGAUCUGCACAGGGAACUCAGUGCAAUCUAGGCUGACUCUCUGCACCAAAUCCUCAAGCCUGGGGCUGGAUCCUGACCCAGCAGGAAAAACCCUGUUAGCUUAGGCUCUGCAUCAAGUGCUGAAGAUGUGAAAUGUCUGACUAGACACAAAUACAAUUUUGCCUGUUUUUUCUCUAAGGUUACUGAGUCAGAGCUGGAUGGCAUAUGUAAUUAUAGUAGGGCUAUUCUUCUCUCUGUCUUUUUUUUUUUUUUUUUUUUUAAGAAACAUUCAUGCUGUGUUUUAAUUACAACAUUUAGAAUACGCCCAAAAAGCUUGAGCUCAAAUUGAUCUUGUUUUUCAGCCAGGAAGCUUGUUUUUCAUCUGUUAUAAUAAUAAAUGUGCUAUUGAUAAUAGUUUAGGUGCAAUACAGCAAAGCUUUGUGUUAUGCAUCAGCUCUGGAGGGCCAACGUUUUCUUAUUAUCCAUUAUUGAUAUGACAGUUUGCAAAUAUUUAACAAACAAAUUACCAGGUUUUCCUUGUUCCCCUCUUGGUUCGCAAUCUCAGUCUUUUUGACAGCUGAAUUCAGGAUUAAUGAUGAUCUCGUUUAAGACGAUUGUUUGCCAGCAGGUUUAUUCUCUAAACCUACAAGUGCGGCAGGAGAACUAGCACUGGCACUUUGAAUUAAAUCUCAUCCUUGAAGCAAUUUUUUUAGCUUUAUUCCCUCCAAUUCUCCUAAGUAGAAAUCGGAUUUGCCUGGUGAAGUACUUAGGCUUGUUAUUAAUUUCUUAGUUUAUGUAGUCAUUUUAAAUAUAGAAGCUUAACUUGAAAGGCUGGUGGAAGCAGCUUUUUUUUCUUUCCCAGCCCUGAGCUUGUUUGGGUCUGUUAGGAUUGAAAGUGCAUUAAGAGACAGGUCAUCUUUGAGCACAGGUGUGGGAGCAAGGAGAGCACCUUGAGCCUCCACAAAAAAGAGCGAUUCAGAAGGACAUGCUUGACUUGGUCCUCGGUAAAGCACUGGAGGUGGCAUUGGGAAACAUUCUGUCCAGGUCAUUGGACUGGUAAAACACAUCCAUUCCUGCAGCAGCUUUCUGCCCACCUCUCCUCCAGGUCUGAGCGCAGGGUGAAGGGUGUGAAAUGGGCUGAAGCACCACCAUCUGCCUGGGCAGGUUGUUUCUGGUGUAGAUGGCUGCCGGUGAAGCAAAGAGAGUGCUUGGGAAAUCUUGAUGCAUCCCCCAGAGUCGAAGCAAGGUCUAGUUAAUCAGUGGGGAAGCUGUCGCAGAGGCAGGGGCAUCUUCUAGGGAAAAAUGCAGCACCAGAACAGAGAAACAAAGACAGCAUGACGCACCCUCUUUGGAGCACGUGCUGGGCACUGGGCCAUUUCUGCCCUGUGGUUUCUGACCGUGGACUUUGCGUACACAAUACAGGAAUUCACUAAUGUGCAAGCCAGGCUUUGGUGAUGAAAAGAGAAUUUGUUCUCAAGUAAAAUCACCUUUUGUUAGCAAAAAAUCUGUGAGUUGGGUCCCCGAAGGGAACGCCGUUUGAAAGUCACAGAUGAUUGAAAGAUAACACAGUCGAUGGGGAGUGGGUGGUUGUUUUUUGUUGGUUUUUUUGUUUGUUUUCUUGCCUUUUGGGUUUGGAAAGCGGGAUGCUGCACAUCAGUUUCUUGACCUGGCCACAGUGAUUUUGUUUUAAUGCAAGAGAAUCUGAGGCUAUCUUUACAAAGAGGAGUUCCUGGGAGUUCUGAAAUAUCAAAUGUCACACCAGCAAAAGUGACUACAGUUGGCAACUCCGACUAUAGCGUAUCACAUUGGUUUUAAGCAAAAAUAAGCCCAAUCAAACAAGACUUGAUGGAACAGAAUUAAAGCGGGCAAGGCAUGCAGCUUGGCUUGAAAUAAUGUGUUAAUAGAGAGAGCGUUUCUUCAUUACUUUUUAUUUGAUUAGCAGUAAAACCACAGAAUCAUGCUAAAUGCAGUUUCUGCGUGCUCUCUGCUAAUUGCCCAUCCCCGUUUGCAAUGUAAGCACUCAUUACUCACAUCCCUUGGAACUAGCCGUGGCCCAUGUGGAGAGGGGCACAGCGGUGUAUUUCAGCGUGUCUGCAUAUAUGUUUUCAGUCCUGGAAUAAUCCCCAUUAUAUGGACAUUUUAGCCUGGUAUCUAAGUCUUCAUCCCACUUCUUUUUAAUGCUUGCUUAACACUUUUCCAGUUGGUUGAUGCAGCAUCAGUCAUGGUAAUAUACCGGCUAUGAUAUUCCAGUUAAUUCUACCAAGGAGCAGGGUGCCUUAGGCACUGUUUCAUGCUAAGAACUGAGCAUGGGCAUUUUCUCUGUGGUGCCCAGGGGGAAUUGGCUGACCACAGCAGCUUGCAGAUGUGCCGGGCAGCAGCAAGAAACUUCCCAUCAUUCAAUCCCCAAGCAUCUCCCAGCCUGGGAACACAGCUAUCGAUGUGGUUAUUUUUGCAGCCUUUUUCUGCUGUUGGGGGUUAAGGCUUUGAGAAAAAUCAGCCUUACGCACAAGUUGGUGAAGUGGCACUACCAACUGGAUGCACCAAGGACAAACCAGCUCCAAUUACCUGCUUUUGCCUAUGCUAAACGCCAUGUAGUACAAAUCAAUGAGCCACAAGGAACCAAACUAUUAAGCUGCUGCUCUUAACAAUCAUUAAUUAUGAAGGUACCAUCACUCGUGUUUGUAAUCUAUGAACUGUCCUGUGCUAACUGAUUUAUUUUUAUUUAGUUUAAUGAGUAGUGAUGGUGAGGCUGCAAACAGUAUUGGUAAGCAAUUCCUGCAGGGGACGAGUCCUGCAGGUGAGCUGGUGAAACCUCCUUUUCACGAGACAAGGCCAGCACAGAGACUGCGCAGCUACAGAUUUGCAGUUCCCCCAUCCUCCUGACCACUCUGCCCAGUCUCUGGGAAAACCCCAACACGAAUGUGUCCUGCUUAGAUGGUCAGGCAAAUAUUUGAUACUUUAAUACUCAAUUUAAGGAGAAGCUUUCAGGCCAGGAGGAUGUCAUUCCAAAGACCUUCUCUGGCAUGUUGAACACCCAAAAACCUUCCUGAGAUCCAUCAGUCUGGGCACUAAUUUCCCCUCUGCCCCAGGCAUCACUUAGAAUAAACACAUUAGAGAUGUGGCAGCGCAGCGAAAGGGGCUCUUAUCCCACUCCCAGGUCAAAGGCAGCAGAUACGAGGCAAACCUCAUACAUCUUCUGGCCUCCCCCAAUUCAUCCUGUUGGCGUUUGGCCCUCUUUAUAUAGCUCUGCCCUUUCCUGUCACUGGGAAGGGCAGAAGAGUGGGUCAGAAGAGGAAAAAUCCUCCAAAGUUGCUUAUCCUACCAGGGUCACUUUCUGCCAAGGAUGGCCAUGGUCUGGAGACCAAGUUACCAAUGGUACUUGCUAACAGAGCACCUGGGACAGUCUUGCACUAUGUUCUCCUGUAACUUCUUUCUGGACAGAUGUCUCCCAGCUGGUCAGUCUCCUCAGAUGUGCACAGGAGUCCAUGCAUGUGAUCGGAUCACUGAUAGAUGCUCUGCAGCCAUCUGGAUGUAGGGAGGAAAUGACAAAUAUACCCCCACCAACCACACCUUCCAUGAGAUAUUGAUGAACGAGAUCUUUAUUGGCUGCAGGGCUAAUUAAAUAGAAGUUGCAUCAGCUUCUGGCUGACAGGCUCUAAUUGCUCCUGAGCAGAUUUUGAGAGGGCCAGAUGAAUAGGAAAAUAAAAGGAAAGACUGUGGAUUGGAUCCAAGGAUGUAUCUGACUGCGCCAUGCUUCAGAUGAGCUGGAGUUCUGUCCUACCUUUCCCUGGGGAAUGGGGACAAGGCGGGGGGUUCCUGUGCUGUGAGAGCACACAGGGAGGUAAUGUCAGAAAAAGACAAAACAAACAUAGAUAUCAAAAAGGAGACAACACUAUGCUCAUUUUAAACAAGAAUUUCUGUAGCCUUAUCUUUGCCUUGGUCUCUGGCUUCAGCCUCAAGCUGCUGGUGCACAUUACUCUGCGCUCCUGUUUCUGGUUUGUCCUGCAGGACUAAUGGCUGUUGCCAAGGGCUGAACUGUCUUGGAUGCUCUGGCACCAGGUAAAUCCCUGAGCCUUGAGGUAUUUUUCCUCCUGUUGCCUUAAAGGCCAAAGGCUGUAAACGGGGUUUCAGAUGCCAAGCAGCCCCUGCAGCUGAGACCAACCCUCUGGAGUCCUGCUGAGGGCUUAGGAGAAGGAUGCUGCUCUCCAGCAAGAAGGAUGGGAGCUUGAGCAUGGCUCUUUGAAUACAAGAGGUGCUGCGUGAGUGCUCCGUGUUGUGUGCCAGAUGCCAGCGAGGGGUGCAAAGCCCUCUCAGCCUCAGUCCUCCAGGCUCGUGCCUAAACCUUGAAAUGGUGAGUGCGGAUGGUUCAACAGGAGAGUCACCAAAUGGAGAAGUUGGUCAGUACCCAGGUUUUGGGUUGGUCAAGGACAGAGCUGGACCUGGUACACAACAGAUCCUGGCAUUGAAAAAAAUUAACAGAAAUUAAUGGCCAAGCCCUUAGUUACUUCAUUGUUGUCAUGUUUUCCCCAGUGGACUCUGUGGGCUAUAUCUGGGCACAUACAGCCUAAGAGGCUUGUCUCAUGUUUAAUUUAUGGGGUGAUGAAUGAGUUCUUAGCAUACAAUGCAUUUAAUUCCAUUUUGGCCUGAUUUAUAAUGUGAUGUGAACUGCAUGUGAAGUUUUUAAUUCAGUAGGUGGUGACUCUGAUCCAGUAUAUGGAGUGUGACGGAAGAAGUGAUAAAUUUGAUUCCAAAGGUGAUGCAUCAAUUUCAGUGUGAAGUGCAUCAAAUUUAUCACACGGGACAUUGGUUUCAGUGUGUGACACCUCAGUGACGGCAGCACCAGGGCAGUUAAGCAGGAUGCCUUCACUGUAUCACCAGUGGUCCCCACGUCCACCACCUCCCCAGAGGAAAAUGGCCCUUGCUGUUGGUCUUUUAUUAGACCUUGCAGGACAUGAAGAAAGACAGUAAAAUGGCUCAUCAGGUGCUGGUCAAAAUAUUUGUCUUCACUUUAUUACGUGCUCCAGGUAAGAGUUUCUGAUAUCUCACCGAAUUUCAGGUGUCAGGAAGAUGCUGCUGCUCCUGGGAACCUCAGCACCAGCCAGCAAAUUGGCCUCAUUUUCUGUGUCCAUUUCAUGACUCAAUAUCUUUGCUUUUAACUUAAUUUAUGACCAAUCCACAUUGUUGAAUAAGGAUGUGGAAUUUGAGUCCUCUCCAGGAGGGAGAGACUUUAACAUUGGGCUCUAUCCAUAACCUUUGAAGGGUAUUUAAAAGACCCAGAGAAGACACCUCCUCUUCUCCCUCACUACACACCGGGACUGCUUUUGUGAUAGGACAUCCCAGCUGAAAGAAACCCACAUCUUGACUGGGGGAACCUAAUGGCAUUCAAGCAGCAGCUGUUUGGGCGGAUGUGACUUGGCGCACACAAGAGGACCAGCCUGAGGCGUGCUGGGCGCUGAGGGGGUUCCCAGUACCAGCGAUACCGAACCUCUUCCCCAUCCUCAUGCCCUGUGAACACCAGUGCUGCUGAAUCCAGCCCUGGCGCAGUGGAGCGUGGCGAGACGGUAGCACAGCCGAGAAAGACGUGAGGGCUGAUGAAGGGAUUUGGUGACAAGCUGAGCGGGAAGUAAUUACUUUUCUCCUUUUCUCCUCCUCUCAUUGCCUCAGCCUCUGCGGCAGUGAGGAUAAAUGCCAUAUAUUAGCAGCAGUGAGCGGCAGAUUCACUGAGCUGCAAUUUAUAACGCGGUUCUCCCUAAAGCCUCAUUGGAGGGCAUUAUGAAGUUAGAUUUGUAAGAGGGGAUAAAAUGAUGAGAGGGUCACUCUGGAAAAGCAUUUGGAAAGCUUCAGAAAAGGAGAUAUUUUCUUCUCUCCAAGCCAGUUAUGUCUCAUUGAGCCAACCCCAGAGGAGCUCCGAGGGAGGGUUGGCGCUCAUAUACCAGAUAUUAAAUUUAAUCCAGUGAGAAGGAGCAGAUGUGGAUGUGCCAGGCCUGUCUGCCACCAUGUCUAAUGCAGAAAGAUGGCUGAAAGAUCUGCCAUCAAAAUGUUUUGAUUUUUCUUGAGGAAAAAAUAGAAAGCUUCUACUGAAAAAAACCCUUGAACCCCUGAGGCAGAAAACUUAUGGCUGAGAAAACUUUGUCUUCAGACUGUUGGCAAAGGGUUGCUGCUGCCAAAGGGGAUAAAGAGGAGGAUGUUUUUCAUCAGCUAUGUUAAUCUGAUCUAUGCCUGCAUGCAGGCUCAAAAAAUUAAACAGACCCCAAUAUGCUGAUGACCCAAACCCUAUUACAGUUUCCAACAAAGGACUCUCAGCUGUCUGGAUGGAGAGAGAGACAGGGGAGGGCUUUUGCUUAUAAUAUCCCCCCGGUGAAGGGUGUGAAGCAUUGGGGACAGGCACUGUGCUCAUGUGCCUCUGGUCUGCCUGGAGAGAGCUGUUUGUUGGCCCAGUUUGUGCUCUGGGCUCUGAAAACCGCUAUAGAAAACAGGUCCUGCUGUUGCUGACAGUCUGGUUCCCACAGGGAGAGGAAGCUUUAAUCCUGUCCUCCACUGUCCAAAAGGGUUAAAAAACACCUGGGCAUACUUUAAGCGGUUUAAAAAGGAAGAGGAAUAGCUAAAGCCCACCCCUUUCAAUAGCAAAAAUGGUCAUGAAUCUGACCUACUUCAACACCACCUUGCAAACUACUCUGUUUAUGAUCAGGGUAAAAUCCCUUGGGUCUGGGAAGUCCCCGUGCCUGCUCCUCCAUCCCCCAAACACCCCACUGAAGGGAGGUGUGUGCCCCGCUGUGCCUUUGCCAGGGAGGCAAGGUGGACUUGGGAUGCUCCCACUGCUGCCCCUUACAAUGAAUCUCAGGGGCUGAGACUGCUGAGAACCACGACUGGGAGGUGGGCGGUGAGGAGCGUUCCAGGCAGAUGAGGUGGAUUCUGCUCCCACAUCCCGGCUUCAGGGUGGCUCCCUGAGACCCCAGCACAAACCCUCCCAUAGCACCAUGCAGCUGCCUUGGGGAUCUUCCUGGCUGCCAGAACAUCUCUCGGUUGUGGAGAGAAGCAUGUGAUUUACGUCUUUGUUUACUUGUUUUGCAUGGGAGACAAGGCUGCAGGUUUAUAAAGUUGAACAACCACCUUAGCAGAGUGCAGUAGGUCCCAUGAAUCAAUCACCUUCUCUGGAGCAUUAACCAGUCACCAGGGAACAGCUGUUUUAUGACAGAUUUUGUGUUAUUCUGGAGUCUCCAGGACCAGAGACUCAGAUGGUGUAACUUGACCUCACUCUCCAAAUCCAGGUGAUUUACAUGAGUUACCUGAUGCUGCGAUGGGUUACUGCAAGUAUUCUCAAUCAAAUAGUUUAAAAAUUUUAUUUGGGCUAAUUUUUACUGAAGGAGGGUUCAUAUAUUUCUUCAUGAUGUUUUAAAGUGCAUUUGACAAAGCACUAAUUUGCCUCAGGUCAAACUGUAUGCCCUAAACUAAUGCAUCUCUCACUCCAAAAUAACUCCAGGCCGAAGCAUUAGCUGAAAGAAGGUCCCUCUCCAGCAGUAUGUACUUUGGAGGCUACUGGUUGCAUUGAGCCAGGCCUCCUACGGGCUGAAUUUCCUCUCAUUUCCACUGUUGAGGCUGUCAGCAGAUAUCAGGCGUUUCCUUCAAACGCUUUGUCCAUCAUCAGCUUGAGAAUGGUGUCCUGCUGCCUGGAGACAGGGUGAGCAAGUGGCUCAUCCCAAAGUGUUGUCCUCUAACUGUGGGGAACAAAGCAUCGUUACUUCAAGAUCUGCUCUGCCCUGGUCCUCUGUGGCGAUUCUAUUUUCCACAUGAAUGCUGGCGGUGAGCUCAUUCCCCCACGUCUUGGGGCCAGCAGCAUGCCUAUGCCUCAUUCCUGUUGUGGAACCUGCCCGUGUAACCCUGGGAAUUCACACUCAGCUUAAAAUUACCCAAAUCCACAAGUUUUUGGAGGACGGUACUACUAAUGGGGACACUCUGGGUGCCUUUGCUCCUAUCAGAGGCUGCAUGAGCCAUGGUGGCUCUUUUCAGGCUAUCAGAAGCAAAGGGGCAGCAGCAACGCCAGGGAGAAGCAGGUUCAGAAGGACAAGUCAAAGCACGACUUUUAGCUUGGGGAAUUAUAAAUGAACAGAAGAACCCACAGCACCGUAAUGAAACGUUCCUUAAAUCCUUUGUUUUUAUUUGGGAUGAUAAAGGAAAAUCAUUAGGGCUCAAUUAGUCAUGAAAGAUGAGGGUCCUUCUGCAUUGUAUGGGCUUGAGAAAGUGACUCGUGUUCAAGAGCACAUCUCCCCUUUCCAGUGUAGGAUCAUUAAAUAUCAAAGACUUUAUUUGUGCAAUUUGCAUUGCCUAUUGCGCCCUUGCAUGGGAUGAAAACCCUGCAGUGAUAAUUGAUGUACGUGGUUUUAAAGGCACUCGGCUCUCUGCCUCACAGAGCUUAAAACAUGCAGAGAAAUGAGGAGGAAGAUCUGAACAGCAGAGGCUGAAGGUGCCGCUUCAGCAGUGCAGCCAUAAAAGAGAAAAGGGAAAGGGAGAGGAGUGACAGAUGAGUUUAUGUGACCCUGAGAUGGGAGAUAAGGGUCUUGGGUGUAUUGCCUUUCCCUUGGGGAUAGAGAGGAGAGGAUGGGGCAGGUGACAGCCACCGCUGGUCCCAGUACGUCACUGGGAUGAACUGGUGUCCCCUUUCAGCUGUGCUGGAGGGAAUCUUUGCUGCCGAAGGCCAUGCACAAGUACAGAGGCCUUUAAAUAUUUAUAAAGCAGUCACUGAUGCUGAGGUGAUGGGCAAGAGAGACUCCAGACUGGGAAGGUUCUCAAGGCUGUUUGCAGGCUGGCCCUGCUCUGAGCCCUUGCUAUGCGACUGGUGAGACCCUCGGUGGUGCCAGCACAGGGCUGUGGGUCAGGCUGAGCAGACAGAGGACACCCCAAGAGGAAAUAAAGUAAAUCCUCCAUUAAAAACCCCACAAUGGAACAACCUGCCUGAGCCCCUCUUUCUCCCCAGGCGUGGUUGUGCUGCACGCAGGCUGUGAUCUGAUUUUGUCACCAAGGGAAAUGUGAAGUG
This is an RNA transcript of Cuculus canorus (common cuckoo), 13362 nucleotides long. It is a transcript of the gene named solute carrier family 15 member 2, with no coding region annotated. NCBI's taxonomy places the organism in Eukaryota, Metazoa, Chordata, Aves, Cuculiformes, Cuculidae. The record is from RefSeq and is a predicted model, not a curated record. The transcript is spliced from 27 exons.